GACGAACGCUGGCGGCGUGCCUAAUACAUGCAAGUAGAACGCUGAAGGAGGAGCUUGCUCUUCUGGAUGAGUUGCGAACGGGUGAGUAACGCGUAGGUAACCUGCCUGGUAGCGGGGGAUAACUAUUGGAAACGAUAGCUAAUACCGCAUAACAGUAGAUGUUGCAUGACAUUUGCUUAAAAGGUGCAAUUGCACCACUACCAGAUGGACCUGCGUUGUAUUAGCUAGUUGGUGGGGUAACGGCUCACCAAGGCGACGAUACAUAGCCGACCUGAGAGGGUGAUCGGCCACACUGGGACUGAGACACGGCCCAGACUCCUACGGGAGGCAGCAGUAGGGAAUCUUCGGCAAUGGACGGAAGUCUGACCGAGCAACGCCGCGUGAGUGAAGAAGGUUUUCGGAUCGUAAAGCUCUGUUGUAAGAGAAGAACGAGUGUGAGAGUGGAAAGUUCGCACUGUGACGGUAUCUUACCAGAAAGGGACGGCUAACUACGUG
This 495-nucleotide ribosomal RNA is filed under the name uncultured bacterium. RNAcentral describes it as "partial 16S ribosomal RNA". It matches the Rfam family "Bacterial small subunit ribosomal RNA", at positions 28 to 507 of the family's 1533-position model. The record is from RNAcentral.